Molecule: non-coding RNA, 83 nt
Organism: Larimichthys crocea (large yellow croaker)
Lineage: Eukaryota; Metazoa; Chordata; Actinopteri; Sciaenidae
Source: Rfam
ACCAGGAUGGCCGAGUGGUUAAGGCGUUGGACUUAAGAUCCAAUGGGCAAUAGCCCUCGUGGGUUCGAACCCCACUCCUGGUA